CAGAAGUUACGUGUUAUGAAUAAUAUAGGUUUAUAAGUCCUCUGCAGGUAGGUCGGGUAUUGAUACCGCGUGCGUGAAGCGAGUUUGAUUUCCACGUGGAUAACUGUGGUAAUUCUAGAGCUAAUACAUGCACCAAAGCUCCGAUCUCAUGACGAGCGCAUCUAUUAGACCAAAAACCAAUCGAGAAUAUUCGCCUCAAAACGAAUGCCUCGUAAAUUUGGUGACUCUGAAUAGCUUAGCUGAUCGCAUGGUCUCGCACCGGCGACGUAUCUAUCAAGUGUCUGCCUUAUCAACUUUCGAUGGUAGUUUAUAUGCCUACCAUGGUUGUAACGGGUAACGGAGAAUAAGGGUUCGACUCCGGAGAGGGAGCCUGAGAAACGGCUACCACAUCCAAGGAAGGCAGCAGGCGCGCAAAUUACCCACUCUCAGCACGAGGAGGUAGUGACGAAAAAUAACGAGACCGUUCUCUUCGAGGCCGGUUAUCGGAAUGAGUACAAUUUAAAGCCGUUAACGAGGAUCUAUGAGAGGGCAAGUCUGGUGCCAGCAGCCGCGGUAAUUCCAGCUCUCAAAGUGUAUAUCGGCAUUGCUGCGGUUAAAAAGCUCGUAGUUGGGAUUUAAGCUCGAUGACUCGGUCCAUCCAUAGGAUGAGAAACUGAGCUCAUCGGCUAUCAUCGGCUGGUUUUGUCUAGGUGGCUUUUAACGGUUGGCCUAGGCUGGGCUAGCAAGGUUUACUUUUGAAAAAAAUAAGAGGGCUCAACGCGGGGCUUAAUGCCCUCGAAAA
This 781-nucleotide ribosomal RNA is filed under the name Procamallanus istiblenni. RNAcentral's name for it is "SSU rRNA". It matches the Rfam family "Eukaryotic small subunit ribosomal RNA", at positions 104 to 802 of the family's 1831-position model. The record is from RNAcentral. Lineage: Eukaryota; Metazoa; Nematoda; Chromadorea; Rhabditida; Camallanidae.